GUACCUGAUGCGCAAAAACUUGGAC
RNAcentral lists this non-coding RNA (25 nucleotides) under Drosophila erecta. Lineage: Eukaryota; Metazoa; Arthropoda; Insecta; Diptera; Drosophilidae. RNAcentral also lists the same sequence under 1 other name. The record is from RNAcentral.